Molecule: long non-coding RNA, 2713 nt
Organism: Peromyscus californicus insignis
Lineage: Eukaryota; Metazoa; Chordata; Mammalia; Rodentia; Cricetidae
Exons: 2
Source: RefSeq, a predicted model, not a curated record
CUCACUACCAACUGCAGGCCUGCAGGAAGGAAGAGAGGCUGGCUAGAGAGACAACUGCAUGCUCCCUGUAGACUGAAACCACAGGCCAGGCUGCAGAUCCAUUGGAAUGACUCUGCUUCAUUGUGUUUCUUUGGAAGGACAGAACAUUUGCCCAUGACUUUCACAGCAAUUGUAUGCAAGCAAGCAGAUCCAGUUUUACCCUGUCGCUGUGCACACGGCAUAAGUAGAAGACACCACUGCAAAGCAGUGACCUUAUACUUUGUUUCCCCGGCUGGCUUGCUCCAUCCAAGAGGAUUCCCAUCUUCUAUGGGAAAUGAAAGCAGAAUAGUCUUUCUCUUGAUUCACAUUUCUGUUUCUUCUGUAACUCCUCCCUCCCCUCCCUAAACCCAGGUGUGGUGGAUACUGGUAACAUCUGUGUGUAUCUACCAUGGCUACUGAGAAAAGGGCACUGUUGAUUAUUUUGAAUGACUCUUUACUUGCAGAUAGUGUGGUUACAGAAAACCAGUUUCUUUUCCUUUCUUCUGGACUUGGCAGCCCAUUGGCGGGAAUCUGACCUCUUAAUGUAAAGCGUGGCUCAGGGAUAAUGAUUUCACUAGGGUUGCUCUAGGUCUGGCUUGUCCUUGAGGCAGAUCUAAAUGAUUGAGACUUUGCAAGAUAGCUCAUGUCUAUCACAGAGAAGGCCGAAACAGGCCCUUGGAAGGACAGAAGAUAAAGUCCACAUGAAAACGAAGCUUUUGUGGCUCUGGACAUUUUAGUAAAGGGUCAAAAUUAUUGCCAUUGUUUCUUUGUGUAUGUUCAAUCUCCUCUUUGGAGGAGCAAAGAUAGAGACUGGGUGAUUCUUAACUUCGAAGGCUCGUGGACAAACAUACACUCUUCUGUUAUUUUAGUGGACUCAGGACUCUCUUGAGGACCCUAGAGUGUACAAUAGAAAUCUCCGUGCAUAAAAAAAAAAGACAUAAUUGUGAAACUACAGUUGUAUAUUUGUUGUUUGCUUCCAUUGGUUUUACUUUGAAAGAGAAAAAGCUCAGGAGAUUUCAACGUCCCUACAUAGUGGUGGGCAGCAAAGGCCUAACACUGCAAGAGCUUUGGCCCAAUCACACAGCUGUUCACUGUGACCAAAGACAUCCUUGUCUCUUAAGGGGCAGAAAGCUAUCUACCAGUGAAUAUUAUAUAAUUAGAAAUCAUGUCGCAUGGUUCAGUGUUUCAAAAGCAAAUGCAAAAACUGCCAAUAAAAAUAUUAAGAAUUGCACAUCUCCCCUCUCUUAAGGAGUGUUUCUGAUUUCUCUGAGAAACAGCCACACUGCUUAUUUGGGUUAAAUGCUUCCUACGGGCCCCAUUUGCCUGAUAUGUGUUCCUUGCCCAGAACUGCUCUGCAGAGGGCCUGUGCUUAUCACAAAGCCAGCCAAGUCAGGAGCACUGACUCUCUUUCUGUUCUUAGCAGAUGAAUCACAAGGAGCUAUCCACCCUCCUUCUGUAGGUUAAUGUCAGGGAUUGGGCUGGUCACUGCUUUGCUUCAUUAUCUGCCCGGUUCAAAAUUCUGUCAUAAAACUCCUUUCAAAGAGGUGCUGCCUUCCUACCAGAUUCCAAAAGCAUUUCUCCAAGAACAGAACUUCCCCUGCAUCCCCCGACCUCCCCCCGCCCCACACAUACAAAAAACAAAAAACAGAUGAAUCUUGGGCUGAAAACAAGAUAGUUUAAGGCCAGCCCAAGGCCCUCUUUUAACCUUAUGAAAGCUCAAGGAUCAUUUAAUUUCAGGUCCUGGGCAAGUUAACGGUUGACCUUCCACCUACUCAAGCUUUCUGGUUAAAAGGAUGAGGCAUGCUACUUCUCUUGAUUUUUGUGACCUACCCACUUAUACCUCAGAACACAAAACUAUCCCACACUGCAGGUCAGGAACUUGGAUUAAAUGCUGCUUUGACUGUUUCCAGUGGUAGAUGUGGUCCGCACAAUCCUUAGCUUGAAAAUGCUGGAAACAUCCAUCGUUAGAACACUACUAGGUAACUCCUAAGAUGACAUUUAUUGUAAAUUGAUUUGGAAAAGAAAAAAGAAAGUCACUCAUGGGUACUGACUGCAUGUAUCACCUGCAGGGUCAUGCACUAGAGAUGAGCUGGUAAGUUCAUACAACUGUGGCGCCUUACUGAAAUUAGCUGCAUGGUUUUUCCCCCUCAAAGAGAAAAGAUCCGCAGGGCAGUUUGAGGGAAGAUUUCUCUGUCCCACCAAGAUUUCUUCCCAUAGGAAAUAUCACAGGAUCCAAGGAUGAGUGAUUCCAACAGAAUGGUGAAUCCUAGUUAAACAGCUGGUUUAAAAGUUAACCAUCUUCAUUCUAACCUGAGCAAGAAUGCCUUUCCCUGUGCUGCCCCAGCCUCUCUUGCAGUAUGAAGCAAAACUAGGAUGCAGAAACUUCUAGAAGCAUUUUCAGCUCAUGCUCUGGGUCCAAAGGCUUUUCUCUCUAGAGGCAAGGCGUUUAAUAAAUGGCGCUCUUCAAGACUCCAUAUAACUACUACACAUCAGCCGGGUGUAACACAUGGAUGCUCACAUACCAACUGUCCUGGAAGCUGAACAUGUAUUAUGAUGAUGAUCCCCAUGAUGGAGGAAGUAUUCAUGUACAGAGGUAUUAGGGAUCCUUCCCAGAGAGGCUGAACUCCAGCUUGCAAGACCCCGACUUUAAGACUGUAACUACUAUUGUUUCUUUUCAAUAAACAGACAAAUUCCA